Molecule: ribosomal RNA, 660 nt
Filed under: Pseudomonas sp.
Lineage: Bacteria; Pseudomonadati; Pseudomonadota; Gammaproteobacteria; Pseudomonadales; Pseudomonadaceae
Description: bacterial SSU rRNA
Rfam family: Bacterial small subunit ribosomal RNA
Source: RNAcentral
AGAGAAGCUUGCUUCUCUUGAGAGCGGCGGACGGGUGAGUAAUGCCUAGGAAUCUGCCUGGUAGUGGGGGAUAACGUUCGGAAACGGACGCUAAUACCGCAUACGUCCUACGGGAGAAAGCAGGGGACCUUCGGGCCUUGCGCUAUCAGAUGAGCCUAGGUCGGAUUAGCUAGUUGGUGAGGUAAUGGCUCACCAAGGCGACGAUCCGUAACUGGUCUGAGAGGAUGAUCAGUCACACUGGAACUGAGACACGGUCCAGACUCCUACGGGAGGCAGCAGUGGGGAAUAUUGGACAAUGGGCGAAAGCCUGAUCCAGCCAUGCCGCGUGUGUGAAGAAGGUCUUCGGAUUGUAAAGCACUUUAAGUUGGGAGGAAGGGUUGUAGAUUAAUACUCUGCAAUUUUGACGUUACCGACAGAAUAAGCACCGGCUAACUCUGUGCCAGCAGCCGCGGUAAUACAGAGGGUGCAAGCGUUAAUCGGAAUUACUGGGCGUAAAGCGCGCGUAGGUGGUUUGUUAAGUUGGAUGUGAAAUCCCCGGGCUCAACCUGGGAACUGCAUUCAAAACUGACUGACUAGAGUAUGGUAGAGGGUGGUGGAAUUUCCUGUGUAGCGGUGAAAUGCGUAGAUAUAGAAGGAACACCAGUGGCGAAGGCGACCACC